Molecule: ribosomal RNA, 292 nt
Filed under: uncultured bacterium
Lineage: Bacteria
Description: partial 16S ribosomal RNA
Rfam family: Bacterial small subunit ribosomal RNA
Source: RNAcentral
GUGUCAGCCGCCGCGGUAAUACGGAGGGUGCGAGCGUUGUCCGGAAUCACUGGGCGUAAAGGGCGCGUAGGUGGCGCGGGAAGUCAACGGUGAAAGUUCAGGGCUCAACCCUGAAUCGGCCGUCGAUACUCCCGGGCUUGAGCACUGUAGAGGCAGGUGGAAUUCCGGGUGUAGCGGUGGAAUGCGUAGAGAUCCGGAAGAACACCGGUGGCGAAGGCGGCCUGCUGGGCAGUUGCUGACACUGAUGCGCGACAGCGUGGGGAGCAAACAGGAUUAGAUACCCGUGUAGUCC